AACCAGUGCAUGACAAAUAAAGAGGAAUAAUAAUUGAAAAUUUCUCAACCAAUGUCUGAACUCUUUGAUUACAGUUUGCUCUCACCAAUGAAUCAUAAACGUAAAGUUGCCGGUCCUUUAUAUCAAAAACUAGCAACAACCAAUGAAAGUUCUCCCCAAGGUUAACAGGCAUGAGCACAUAGUCAACAAGAUCCCAGGAAACAUUAGCAAGAAUUCUGU
This 219-nucleotide long non-coding RNA is filed under the name Nicotiana benthamiana. Its description in RNAcentral is "long non-coding RNA (NBEN_LNC000583)". Lineage: Eukaryota; Viridiplantae; Streptophyta; Magnoliopsida; Solanales; Solanaceae. The record is from RNAcentral.